Macadamia integrifolia is the source of this 2056-nucleotide long non-coding RNA. RefSeq lists it as uncharacterized. Lineage: Eukaryota; Viridiplantae; Streptophyta; Magnoliopsida; Proteales; Proteaceae. The record is from RefSeq and is a predicted model, not a curated record. The transcript has 2 exons.
UUGAAAAAAAAAAAAAAAAUCAUAGUCUAAGAAAUGGAAGCAAAUUAGAUUUUUUGACUAAGCUUUGACCAACGAAGGCUUGCAGCCCAAGCUAAUCAAAAUAGACCCCCACGAUAUGGUUUUGGGAGAACCAGAAAACUACCACCCACAUGGUUGGCCAAAAGGCCCAAGGGUCUUGGCCACUAGGUUGCUUAUGGGCCUGAUCCUUUUUUUUGGAUGAAUGACCUGAUCCUUUUUUUUGGAUGAAUGACCUGAUCCUUAGAGAUUCCUACGACUGUACUUCGGGCCAUGAAAUCGAUCUGCAUCAGCUUCCCGCCUCCUAAAAUCAUUUGACCCUGAUGAAUGGAGGAAGGACAUGUAACGCUCGUAGAGAUCCGGGUUGAGACGCUUGGAGCUGUUGGCAUGGAUCCAUUUACACCAUGUAUAGGUCACCCCUUCCAUUUGGCAAGAAAAGAAUUUGAGCCUUUGCCACCCUGCAUCGUGGUGAACUUGUUGUCGAGGACAUCUUCAAUAUCUUCAUUGAUGGGGACUGCAAAUUGAGGAAGGCGUAGUGUCUACUCAGUGUCACCCUCGUUUGAACUUUGAAUGAUGGCAUACAUAUAGAGUAAGACCCAUUUUGCGAGGAUGCAACUUGUGAUUGGUACCCGGGAGAAGUUGUUCUGAAGCUAUACGAACCAUCACCAAAUCUUCAAGUUGAAGUUCGAAGAAACGAUGAUGUCAGUCAGCUGCUGCCUUGUAUAAUGGCAAUGCAGCAAUGAACGUUAGUGUGAACCUUCGAGACGUGUCUCAGAAACUUGCUUGUCUCAACACUCGCAUGUACAUGAGGGGGUAAUGGUACAAAAUCCAUGGGCCUUUGAGGUUGAAGACUGACAGAAUUUCAAAAGGUGUACGCCUGGUAGUAUGGUCAACGAAAUUGUUGUACGUGAACUCAGAAGUGUCAAGAAUAGAGGGCCAUGUCUUCUUCUGAUCAUGAGCAAGACAACGAAGAAGGUUGCCAAGGCUUCAAUUUACUACUUCUGCCUGCGGGUGGAAUGCUAAAGAGAACUUCAACUUUGUAUACGUCUUUAUCUAUAGUCUUCCAAACCUAGCUCAUAAAUUUCACAUCACGAGAAAAAAAAAAAAAAAGGAUUCCGACAGUCCAUGCAUACAUACCACCUCUUUGAAAAUGAGCUUGGCUAUAUGGCUCGCGCCGAACUUUUUUUGACAUGUUAUAAAGGGAGCCAUUUUUGAGAACCUCUCCACCACCACCACAAAUAUAGAAUCAUGUUGCUCACUUGUUGAUGGUAAGCAGAGGACAAAUUCCAUGCUAAUGUGCAACCACAGUGCAUGUGGUAUGGGUAAAGGUGUGUAUAAACCCGUGUUUUGCUUAUCUCCUUUGGCAAGUUGGCAUGAGUGGUAUCUCUAUAUCACAUGUUGAACAUCCCUCUGUAGGCGUGGCUAAUAGUACAAAUCAACAACUAGUGAUUUUGUCUUGUCCUUGCCAAAAUGUCCACCAAUUCCACCUCUAUGUAAAUCUUGAACUAAGUGCUGCCUCAAGGAUGUGUUCUGUUCUAUGAUGUGUAUUUUUUAAUUAAUCAGUUGGUCUCGGUCCAAAUCAAUUAAUCUGAUAGACCAACUGAUAACCGACGAAUUAGAGGUGUUGAAACUUGGCUGAACUAAUGACCCAAACCAAGUUUGAAAUCAUUUAGCCCACUAAUAACCAAGUUUGAAACUCUCAACUGUCUCCCUCAUGUUUAUAGACUCUCCUUCCCUUCUCUUCUUCUUAAAUUUCCAAUUUGUGAGUAAAAAUUAAUGCAUUCUCUUAGUCUUUUCUCCUCCCUUGGAGCAAAACUUUCAUUUUUUUAGUCCCAUAGUGAAAUUUUUUUUUUUGGGUGAAUUAAUAAUAAAUGCAUUAAAAGAGGGGGAGGGAAAAUAUAUCCCCUAAGGAAAAAUGCAAGCCCAAUAAGGGAACCAAAGUCCAAAGAAGAUAGCAACCAAGGCCAAGUGGGCUUGAUGUGACAUGUCUAAUACAAUUUAAGCCCAAAUGGACAAAACAAGAGCUAGAAGCCCAACAACU